Mastomys coucha (southern multimammate mouse) is the source of this 131-nucleotide small nucleolar RNA. RefSeq annotates it as small nucleolar RNA SNORA17. The record is from RefSeq and is a predicted model, not a curated record. Lineage: Eukaryota; Metazoa; Chordata; Mammalia; Rodentia; Muridae. The transcript has a single exon.
CCUGCCUCUAGAAGUGUUGCAGAUGUGGCUACUGUGUCACAAGUGCAGUAGGUGGCAGAGAGGAAAGAGGCUAUGCCUAUGCUCAGCAUAAGAUAACUUAUGAACAUCUGAAAGAUUAGUAGCCUAAUAUU